GAUGAACGCUGGCGGCGUGCCUAAUACAUGCAAGUCGAGCGAACGGGCGAGAAGCUUGCUUCUCUGAUGUUAGCGGCGGACGGGUGAGUAACACGUGGAUAACCUACCUAUAAGACUGGGAUAACUUCGGGAAACCGGAGCUAAUACCGGAUAAUAUUUUGAACCGCAUGGUUCAAAAGUGAAAGACGGUCUUGCUGUCACUUAUAGAUGGAUCCGCGCUGCAUUAGCUAGUUGGUAAGGUAACGGCUUACCAAGGCAACGAUGCAUAGCCGACCUGAGAGGGUGAUCGGCCACACUGGAACUGAGACACGGUCCAGACUCCUACGGGAGGCAGCAGUAGGGAAUCUUCCGGAAUGGGCGAAAGCCUGACGGAGCAACGCCGCGUGAGUGAUGAAGGUCUUCGGAUCGUAAAACUCUGUUAUUAGGGAAGAACAUAUGUGUAAGUAACUGUGCACAUCUUGACGGUACCUAAUCAGAAAGCCACGGCUAACUACGUG
This 497-nucleotide ribosomal RNA is filed under the name uncultured bacterium. Its description in RNAcentral is "partial 16S ribosomal RNA". It matches the Rfam family "Bacterial small subunit ribosomal RNA", at positions 28 to 507 of the family's 1533-position model. The record is from RNAcentral.